AUGUGCACCCCUAUUGCCCUGGUAUACCGAAGAAACACACACUAAUUGGUUAUGCAUGAUCAUUCUGAUUGGUGGCAAUCUUUUCCAAAUCGGUGCAUAUCCUUAUUUUAUCUUAGCGCUUGUGAAGAGAUAAAGCAAUGGUGCCAAACUAAGGCACUAACUCAGAAACGUAUUAAACUGUGAAUAAAUACUGAAGAAGAAUACUCUAAAUAUGAUGAUGGAAGAACACGCAAAUAUACUUUUUGUAACUUUUUGUGACACUUCCUACAAAUGACAAGACUCCUAUUUAUAUACGAGGA
Molecule: unclassified non-coding RNA, 299 nt
Filed under: Hevea brasiliensis (rubber tree)
Lineage: Eukaryota; Viridiplantae; Streptophyta; Magnoliopsida; Malpighiales; Euphorbiaceae
Source: RNAcentral